Molecule: ribosomal RNA, 257 nt
Filed under: uncultured Gardnerella sp.
Lineage: Bacteria; Bacillati; Actinomycetota; Actinomycetes; Bifidobacteriales; Bifidobacteriaceae
Description: partial 16S ribosomal RNA
Rfam family: Bacterial small subunit ribosomal RNA
Source: RNAcentral
CGGAACGGGUGAGUAAUGCGUGACCAACCUGCCCCAUGCUCCAGAAUAGCUCUUGGAAACGGGUGGUAAUGCUGGAUGCUCCAACUUGACGCACGUCUUGUUGGGAAAGUGUUUAGUGGCAUGGGAUGGGGUCGCGUCCUAUCAGCUUGUAGGCGGGGUAAUGGCCCACCUAGGCUUCGACGGGUAGCCGGCCUGAGAGGGCGGACGGCCACAUUGGGACUGAGAUACGGCCCAGACUCCUACGGGAGGCAGCAGCA